GACGAACGCUGGCGGCGUGCUUAACACAUGCAAGUCGAACGGAAAGAUCCUGCUUUUGUGGGGUGCUCGAGUGGCGCACGGGGGUGUAACACGUGAGUAUCCUGCCCUUGUCUUUGGGAUAACUUCUGGAAACUGGGGCUCAUACCGGAUAGGAGCUCCUGCUGCAUGUUGGGGGUUGGAAAAUUUCGGCUGUUGGGGAUGGAAUCGCGGCUUAUCAGCUUGUUGGUGGGGUAGUGGCUUACCAAGGCUUUGACGGGUAGCCGGCCUGAGAGGGUUGACGGCCACAUUGGGACUGAGAGACGGACCAGAAGGCUACGGGAGGCAGCAGUGGGGAAUAUUGCACAAUGGGCGGAAGCCUGAUGCAGCAACGCCGCGUGCGGGAUGACGGCCUUCGGGUUGUAAACCGCUUUGGCCUGUGACGAAGCGUGAGUGACGGUAAUGGGUAAAGAAGCACCGGCUAACUACGUG
Molecule: ribosomal RNA, 468 nt
Filed under: uncultured bacterium
Lineage: Bacteria
Description: partial 16S ribosomal RNA
Rfam family: Bacterial small subunit ribosomal RNA
Source: RNAcentral